AGAUAUCACUGGUUAGAGAUCAUAUGUACACAAUAUAACAAUGUGAUCUUGCCUUAGCUUUUGUGAGAUUGAGGGGACUUACUAGAGAUGGCUUCAGUCGUUUUGGACAUGUGGAUGUAGAUUCUUCUGGGGUCUUCAGUGAUCUUGCUUGCCGAAACUUUUCUUUGACCCGUUUUACUUCCUCAUUGUUGAUUAGUGGAGCCCGUUCUGUUUUGAAUUUUCUCUUGAGUUGGCUGUGCCAGGUAUGCUGGUUGUUCCAAACAGAUAUCAUGAAAGUUAAUUAUGCAUACUUCUGUAAAUCUAAAAUCUGUUCAAAUUAGAGACCAAAGGAGAGGUACUUACAUAACCAUUCCCGUGUACAUCCCUUAAGAAAGGGUACUUCCCAAUUAACGCUUUAACGAUCUGAACGUAGUCCGAGUUGGUUGGAUACCUGUCUCAAACAAUGACAAAACAAACUACAUUACCAUAUUACGGUGAAUAAGAGACUGCAGGAGAAAAUUUUAAUAUCACUUUCUACCUGUUUAAAUGUAUGCUUGUUGAACAGGUGUAGGGAUAAAGUAUUGGUAUUUACUUGCAAAGGUUUAAUUACAUUUAUAGUAACAAGUGUAGUUGUCAUCAACUCGAGUAAAAUGUUAUAUUCACUGCACGUGGUUCACUGACUUCACUCCGUGCACGUGUUAUUGAGUGGGUGUGUGCCGGGGUGACAAGUUUGCAUGCGUGCAUCUGGUGAAAAAUUAUAAAAACUGUACAUAUUACAUUUUAUGUUUUGUAUGAUAAUUGGAAAAGAACACUUACAUUGUACACUGUGACAGCAUGUCAUACAGAUUCCCAAUUAUUUUGUUACGGUACUUUUGUUCCUUGUGGACCGGUUCUUUAGCAUCUAAGCGGCUCUGGACAUCUUGUGGGAAUUGUGGAAUGGAAAUGACUGCAGGCAGUCUGUGGCAAGUAGAUUCCAACCUGCAAUACAGCAGAAGAACAGCAUUAUCAGAUUAGGACAACACCACCUCAAUGCAAGAUAAAAAUAGAAAAAGAAAUGGUGAAAAAAAUAGCCUAAUUAAUACAUUACCACCUCUGGUUUGCUGGGGACACAGAAGCUUCACAUGUUUGUUGUUCUGGGUUGACCACUUCCAAAGUAACGGUGACCUCCUUGUUGCGGUGUGUGAAGUCUCUGAAUUUUAGCUGCUUUUUGAAAGACUUGUCAAAGAGAUAUGCAAUCAUAUUUUCUGUGAGUCCGCAGUCUACUGUCUCUCCAUCCACAUCAUUGUCUGAAAUAUAAAUGAAAAAGCUAUUAAAAGAAGCACUGAAACUCUGGACAUACAGAUAGUGACUGAUGCAAUUCAUAAAAAAACAAACUUUUUUGCAACUCGCUGUAAUGUGGUUUGUAAAUAAAGUUUUAAAAAAAACUGUAUAUAAUCAUUAUAUGUCAUUAUACAGAAAUGUUUAGUAUGCUAUUUUUCUACUUCUCAUUAUCAUCAUUGAUUAUUAAUAAUAGUGUUUAAAGUGAGCCUUUUAUGUUCAACAGAAAAAUACAUCAUACAAACGGCAACUUUUGCAGCCUUGUCAGUCUGAUGGCGAGUUAUCACCUUUGUCAUCACUAACAUACUGUUAAUAAUCAAAGCUCUGAGGCUUUACAUUUGUUCUAUAUGUUAGAAAACAAGAUGUCAGCAUCAAGCUAUAAUCAGGCUACAUUCAUGAUUUUGUACAGUCAAACUAACCAAAAACUUCUUAUUGAUCAUCAUUAUAACGUUUCAGGAUUUCAGUUUCCUGUAACCAUGGUAACUCACGGUGCCAGUGGGGAGGGAGGGACGCGGAAUGAAGCUGUUUACAGACACACCCCAAAGUGCAGACUAUAGUUGUUAUUUCACACAUGUAGCACACAGCUGGAUACUCUUUGUGUCAGACGAGUUAUCACGUGUUGACUAAAGUCAAAAACUAACGUACGUGGCACCGCGACGAGUCCUUGUAAAUACAAGAUGUGUUGCGUGAACUAUCUUAAGCCACUCAGCACUAAUAUCCCCGCACAUUGCUGUGUGUUGCGUUAAACGGAAGAUAAAAGGUUGCUACUGGGAGAGAAAAUGAAUUAAGCCAAUUCAAAAUAUAUAUUUUUUCCUUUAACAUGUUUUUACCACUAACUGUGAUAUACAUGUUUUGUCAGAAUAAAAAUGGAAACAUGAAUAAAUAAACACCAAGUAAGAAACACUAGUGAAUAAGAUAAAUAACUUCAGAGUGUAUUCGCGGGCUUGGGUGAUUUCUUUUGUUUGUUGGAGCUUUGAGCGGGAGACCGUGUACCUUUGCUAGCUUGACAUUAGCAUGGCUAAUAACGUUAGCCGACUUAACUAUUUGAGCAAACUAGCUAAUAUUUUCAAUAACUUUACUUACUACCUACGUAUUUGGCAGUUCAAGAUACAGUAUUGUCUAGCUUAGCUACAGUAGCGUUAAGUGAAUUAACGUUAGUGACUGUAAUAUCAGAACCAGCUUAGCUAGCUAGCUAGCUACUGAUACCAAUGAUUUGAUGUUAGCUAGAAACGUCUUUGAUAGUUAUGAAGUUCAAACUUCACUUACCUCUAAAUUUCUGAGCCUCCUCUUCUGAAAUUUGGAUUCCUCCUUCCACCACCAACUUUUGUAAAAGUUCCUCCGUGGACAGCCCCCUGAGUGGCAUAGCUACUGAAUGAACAGUUGAAUCGUGAACGCACACUUUUCUUUUUUUUUGUGAACUGACUCCUGUCUGUCCUGCGCGGCACUAGUUUGACGUCUCUGGUAUUAGUGCGCCGCUGUUGCUUGACAACCAGUGUGCUACCUUGGGGAACUAUAUUUUGGCAGAAGAAUUAGGAUUUGUUUUCAGUAAAUAAUCACGUUUUAUGUUACUGGGUUGUCUACAGCCACCAAUUUAGU
This is a long non-coding RNA of Gasterosteus aculeatus aculeatus (three-spined stickleback), 2892 nucleotides long. Lineage: Eukaryota; Metazoa; Chordata; Actinopteri; Perciformes; Gasterosteidae. The record is from Ensembl.